Non-coding RNA from Perognathus longimembris pacificus (Pacific pocket mouse), 669 nucleotides. The record is from the annotation of a RefSeq genome assembly. Lineage: Eukaryota; Metazoa; Chordata; Mammalia; Rodentia; Heteromyidae.
UUGAUUUAAUCUUAUAAACACCAGGGAGAAACUCCUUUGGGACUAAAUGUGGACACCAGAAGGAACUGAAAAACCUGUUUGGUGUCAGUUCUGAAGCUGAAUGGCAUCAUCUCUUGCUCAUUUGCAUAGUUUUUUUCCUACAGUCCAUUUCUGUCCUUUAAGAUCAUCAAGAAUACUUGCUCAGUGAAUGAAGGACGAGAGCCUCAGGCAGGACCUACACUGAACAUGGAUAUCUUGCUUUCUCUAUUCUCCCUUCUGCUGCUCUGGAGCCCAGCUACUAGGGGGCUCACAGUGAUGACUCAGUCUCCAGCCUCGGUGUCAGUGUCCCCAGGAGACAGCGUCUCUGUGACUUGCCAUGCUAGUGAGAGUGUAAGUGAUUAUGUGACCUGGUAUCAACACAAACCGGGCCAGCCCCCGAAGAUCCUCAUCUAUGAUGCGGAUAACCAGUAUCCUGGCGUCUCAGAUCGUUUCAUAGGGAUUCAGUCUGGGACAGAAUUCAUUUUCAAAAUCAGCAAAGUAACGGCAAGAAACUUGGCCCUCUCAGAAGUGAGCUUGUUCAAUACGGAGAAGAAGAUGGAAACAGACUCUGAGGCUCUGAUCAAGACAGCAAUGGUUGUCUUCAUGUUGGAUCGUCAGCGAAUCCGACAGCUGCUCACUUUACGAAGCUAG